GGGCAACCUGCCCAAAAGAGGGGGAUAACACUUGGAAACAGGUGCUAAUACCGCAUAACCAUAGUUACCGCAUGGUAACUAUGUAAAAGGUGGCUAUGCUACCGCUUUUGGAUGGGCCCGCGGCGCAUUAGCUAGUUGGUGGGGUAAAGGCUUACCAAGGCAAUGAUGCGUAGCCGAACUGAGAGGUUGAUCGGCCACAUUGGGACUGAGACACGGCCCAAACUCCUACGGGAGGCAGCAGUAGGGAAUCUUCCACAAUGGGCGAAAGCCUGAUGGAGCAACGCCGCGUGGGUGAAGAAGGUCUUCGGAUCGUAAAACCCUGUUGUUAGAGAAGAAAGUGCGUGAGAGUAACUGUUCACGUUUCGACGGUAUCUAACCAGAAAGCCACGGCUAACUACGUGCCAGCAGCCGCGGUAAUACGUAGGUGGCAAGCGUUAUCCGGAUUUAUUGGGCGUAAAGGGAACGCAGGCGGUCUUUUAAGUCUGAUGUGAAAGCCUUCGGCUUAACCGGAGUAGUGCAUUGGAAACUGGGAGACUUGAGUGCAGAAGAGGAGAGUGGAACUCCAUGUGUAGCGGUGAAAUGCGCAGAUAUAUGGAAGAACACCAGUGGCGAAAGCGGCUCUCUGGUCUGUAACUGACGCUGAGGUUCGAAAGCGUGGGUAGCAAACAGGAUUAGAUACCCUGGUAGUCCACGCCGU
RNAcentral lists this ribosomal RNA (697 nucleotides) under uncultured bacterium. RNAcentral's name for it is "bacterial SSU rRNA". It matches the Rfam family "Bacterial small subunit ribosomal RNA", at positions 119 to 803 of the family's 1533-position model. The record is from RNAcentral.